RNAcentral lists this ribosomal RNA (119 nucleotides) under Pteropus alecto (black flying fox). Lineage: Eukaryota; Metazoa; Chordata; Mammalia; Chiroptera; Pteropodidae. The record is from RNAcentral.
GUCUAUGGCCAUGCUACCCUGAACAAGCCCCAUCCUGUCUGAUCUCAAAAGCUAAGCAGGAUCGGGCCUGUUUAGUACUUGGAUGGGAGAUCACCUAGGAAGACCAAGUGCUGUAGGCA